UGGGGAAUUUUGGACAAUGGGCGAAAGCCUGAUCCAGCAAUGCCGCGUGUGUGAAGAAGGCCUUCGGGUUGUAAAGCACUUUUGUCCGGAAAGAAAUCCUUGGCUCUAAUACAGUCGGGGGAUGACGGUACCGGAAGAAUAAGCACCGGCUAACUACGUGCCAGCAGCCGCGGUAAUACGUAGGGUGCAAGCGUUAAUCGGAAUUACUGGGCGUAAAGCGUGCGCAGGCGGUUUGCUAAGACCGAUGUGAAAUCCCCGGGCUCAACCUGGGAACUGCAUUGGUGACUGGCAGGCUAGAGUAUGGCAGAGGGGGGUAGAAUUCCACGUGUAGCAGUGAAAUGCGUAGAGAUGUGGAGGAAUACCGAUGGCGAAGGCAGCCCCCUGGGCCAAUACUGACGCUCAUGCACGAAAGCGUGGGGAGCAAACAGGAUUAGAUACCCUGGUAGUCCACGCCCUAAACGAUGUCAACUAGUUGUUGGGGAUUCAUUUCCUUAGUAACGUAGCUAACACGUGAAGUUGACCGCCUGGGGAGUACGGUCGCAAGAUUAAAACUCAAAUGAAUUGACGGGGUCAUAGCUGUUUCCU
RNAcentral lists this ribosomal RNA (585 nucleotides) under uncultured bacterium. RNAcentral describes it as "partial 16S ribosomal RNA". It matches the Rfam family "Bacterial small subunit ribosomal RNA", at positions 355 to 1375 of the family's 1533-position model. The record is from RNAcentral.